RNAcentral lists this ribosomal RNA (252 nucleotides) under uncultured bacterium. RNAcentral describes it as "partial 16S ribosomal RNA". It matches the Rfam family "Bacterial small subunit ribosomal RNA", at positions 524 to 776 of the family's 1533-position model. The record is from RNAcentral.
UACGUAGGGGGCAAGCGUUGUCCGGAAUUAUUGGGCGUAAAGCGCGCGCAGGCGGCCUUGUAAGUCUGUUGUUUAAACUUGGGGCUCAACCCCAAGUCGCAAUGGAAACUGCAAAGCUUGAGUGCAGAAGAGGAAAGUGGAAUUCCACGUGUAGCGGUGAAAUGCGUAGAUAUCGAGAGGAACACCAGUGGCGAAGGCGAGUCCCUGGACAACUUCUGACGCUGAGGCACGAAAGCUAGGGGAGCAAACAGG